UACGGAGGGUGCAAGCGUUGUCCGGAUUUAUUGGGUUUAAAGGGUGCGUAGGCGGGUCUUUAAGUCAGUGGUGAAAGCCUUCGGCUCAACCGAGGGAUUGCCAUUGAUACUGGGGAUCUUGAGUUCAGAUGAGGUAAGCGGAAUUGAUGGUGUAGCGGUGAAAUGCAUAGAUACCAUCAGGAACACCGAUUGCGUAGGCAGCUUACUGGGCUUGAACUGACGCUGAGGCACGAAAGCGUGGGGAUCGAACAGG
This 253-nucleotide unclassified non-coding RNA is filed under the name uncultured Cyclobacteriaceae bacterium. RNAcentral's name for it is "contains 16S-23S intergenic spacer region". It matches the Rfam family "Bacterial small subunit ribosomal RNA", at positions 524 to 776 of the family's 1533-position model. The record is from RNAcentral. Lineage: Bacteria; Pseudomonadati; Bacteroidota; Cytophagia; Cytophagales; Cyclobacteriaceae.